GGAAAGAACCCAACAGGGAUUGCCCUAGUACCGGCGAGUGAAGCGGCAACAGCUCAAAUUUGAAAUCUGGCCUCCUCUGGUGGUCCGAGUUGUAAUUUGCAGAGGGUGCUUUGGCGUCGGCAGCGGUCUAAGUUCCUUGGAACAGGACAUCACAGAGGGUGAGAAUCCCGUACGUGGUCGACUGCCUUCGCCGUGUAAAGCCCCUUCGACGAGUCGAGUUGUUUGGGAAUGCAGCUCUAAAUGGGAGGUAAAUUUCUUCUAAAGCUAAAUACUGGCCAGAGACCGAUAGCGCACAAGUAGAGUGAUCGAAAGAUGAAAAGCACUUUGGAAAGAGAGUCAAACAGCACGUGAAAUUGUUGAAAGGGAAGCGCUUGCAGCCAGACUUGCCCGCAGUUGCUCAUCGGAACUCCUGCUCCGAGCACUCUUCUGCGGGCAGGCCAGCAUCAGUUUGGGCGACCGGAUAAAGGCCUCUGUCAUGUAUCUUCCUUCGGGAUGACCUUAUAGGGGAGGCGUAAUGCGGCCAGCCCGGACUGAGGUCCGCGCUUCUGCUAGGAUGCUGGCGUAAUGGCUGUAAGCGGCCCGUCUUGAAACACGGACCAAGGAGUCUAACAUCUAUGCGAGUGUUUGGGUGUCAAGCCCGAGCGCGCAAUGAAAGUGAACGGAGGUGGGAACCCUCUUCGGGGGGUGCACCAUCGACCGAUCCUGAUGUCUUCGGAUGGAUUUGAGUAAGAGCAUAGCUGUUGGGACCCGAAAGAUGGUGAACUAUGCUUGAAUAGGGUGAAGCCAGAGGAAACUCUGGUGGAGGCUCGCAGCGGUUCUGACGUGCAAAUCGAUCGUCAAAUUGGGGAUAGGGGCGAAGACUAUC
RNAcentral lists this ribosomal RNA (865 nucleotides) under Lentithecium yunnanense. RNAcentral describes it as "partial large subunit ribosomal RNA". It matches the Rfam family "Eukaryotic large subunit ribosomal RNA", at positions 56 to 936 of the family's 3401-position model. Lineage: Eukaryota; Fungi; Ascomycota; Dothideomycetes; Pleosporales; Lentitheciaceae. The record is from RNAcentral.